RNAcentral lists this long non-coding RNA (285 nucleotides) under Selaginella moellendorffii. RNAcentral describes it as "long non-coding RNA (SMOE_LNC001831)". Lineage: Eukaryota; Viridiplantae; Streptophyta; Lycopodiopsida; Selaginellales; Selaginellaceae. The record is from RNAcentral.
UCGCUGGCUGCAUGAAUUGAGACUUGUUGUUGCAUUGCAGGUGGUCACCUGUGGAAGUGUUCACCUCGAGUCUCCAUUUCAGAAGGUCAACCGUUGCAUCUACACGUCUGCGAGCCUUCACGAGUACAGGGCGUGGCACUCCAAGCCUGCCAACGACAAGCACCAGCGUUUCACCUGGGGACUGCGCCACCUCGAGGUAAGGCUUUUAGCUUACCAGGCAUCGCAUUCUCUCAGCCGGCCUUCCCAAACAGAGACACAUUGUCGACUUCUACAUCUCCGACUUCA